Molecule: non-coding RNA, 157 nt
Organism: Pelobates cultripes (western spadefoot toad)
Lineage: Eukaryota; Metazoa; Chordata; Amphibia; Anura; Pelobatidae
Source: the annotation of a GenBank genome assembly
GCAGACACAUUCCAGCCAAUCAGCAGCAGACUCUCCCUCCCAGACCCUCCCACCUCCUGGACAGCAUCCAUUUUGAAGCUGCAUUCUUAGUGAGCUGUCCAGGAGGUGGGAGGGUCUGGGAGGGAGGGUCUGCUGCUGAUUGGCUGGAAUGUGUCUG